RNAcentral lists this non-coding RNA (23 nucleotides) under Cricetulus griseus (Chinese hamster). The record is from RNAcentral. Lineage: Eukaryota; Metazoa; Chordata; Mammalia; Rodentia; Cricetidae.
GAUCCUCACGUUUGACCAGUUAG